UAGCACUUAACCACUAAACCACCAGUGGGGGCAGUUCUACUCUGUCCUACAGGGUCGCUAUGAGUUGGAAUCGACUCUACGGCACUGGACAGUAGAGGAAGGGAAAUACAUUGUCAAUGGAAGGGGUGAAGGGCUUCACAGAAUGUGUUUUCCUCUUUUCAGUGAUAUAGGAUUUUAGAAUGGCAAGCACACUUGUGGUCAUUUAUUGCAACCCCUUCAAUUUAGCGUUGAGUAAAUGCAGGCAUAGGAGAGCUCAAGAUAAAUUCUAACACAGAGCCUGUUAUUGCAGCUCUGCAUAAAAAUCCCCAGGCCCCUCCCUUGAUUCCUUCUCUUUUCACUAUAGCACCCUGUCUAUGAUAUUUUGAAUUUUGGGAUCACAUUUAUAUAUUUGGAGAAACCAAAAUAACCCAAACCAAACCCUUUGCCAUCAAGUUUAUUCUGACUCAUGGCCACCCCAUGUGUUACAGUGUAGAAUUGAGAUACGCUAGCAAUCAAAUGGGAACAAACCACUUAGGAUUCCUUUUACCAUCUCUAAGCUUUAACUUAGUCUUUCACGGAGUAGAAUAUACGGACAUAUAUCAAGGCAAUAUGUGUAGCAAUUGGGAACUCAGAACCUAAAUCCCUGGGCUCAAAUCCCGGCUCUGCCAUUUAUGACCUAUUCCAUUUUCUUCAUCUUAUAAAAUGGUGUUGGAAUAAGAAUUAAAUGAGGUUAGAUGUGAACAAGUACCUGCUAUAUGGUAAACUUUCAAAUAAUGUUAAUGAUAUUUUUCUAAUGAAUAGAAAUCAGAAACUUUAGUGCUUCUUGAAGACUUGGUGUAUUUACAUGCUUUAGUAGGAGCUAAGCAACAACUUUCAAACAAAGUUCUCACAAAUCAUUGAUUUUUGUCAAUAGGCAAAAUCAUCUGGUGGAGUUAUUCCGUUUAUUCUCAUCCCAUGGGAAUCUAGAACUCGAUUUGGAAGUUUUUGAUAACAUCUUCAACAUCUGACUUAAUAUCAACAUUACCAACUCAAGGAGCUGUUGAGUCCAAGUACGACUACCAAGAAGAAUCCAGAAAAGCCAAAGAGCCAAGCAUGUCAGACCUUCCUGCAGCCCACCACGCAUACUUAAAUCCCAAAGGAAAUGAGUGAGAAGCAUUGGGAAGAUGAGCUCCAACCAGGGUCCGGUGCCUUCUUGGUCUGGCAGUGUGGGCAUGAAGUGCCUACAAAAGAAGGUGCCUACCUUGGUAACUUGCUGUUCCUUGUGUAUCAUCAAGUGGAAGUGCGAAGCACCACAAGCUGCCUUGAGCAGAUCCCACUUCCCUUCACCCACAGAGAGCGUGAAGCAGUUACACCAACAUCAAUCAAGGAGAACCCACAGGCUGAACUCACACCGUUGAAGCAGGUGCACAAGCGAGCAGUCUCCAACAGGCUUAUGUGAUUGAGGUGCUCCCUGCUGCCGGGCCCGCAGAUGUCAGUUACAGUGUCUGUGUGUGCCUGUGCCCACUCCUCCUGGCCAAGACAAGCCUAUCUCACUCGUGGGAGAGAGCAGUGGAGCUCGUGGCGCUAAGGGAGCGGUUGAGUCGAACGUUCCUGAAUUGGUCUCUCUUUCUCUUCACUCAUUCACUUGUUGAAUGGUGAGCAGAAGGGUCUGAAAAAAAUAGUAUUUUAUUUUCUUCCUGUGGAGCUUUGCAGUGAGAACAACCCUUGGAUUGCUCGUUUAAAAUAGUAAACAGGAAAACACUAGCAGCAGCUGAUUUGCUCAAAUAAAGGGGAAACGUGCAAGGUCUAGAAUCUGUGUGUGUGUGUGUGUACAUAGACAUAAAUAUAUACCACAUAUAUGUGUGUGUGGAUAUGCGUAUAUAUGUGCAUGUGUGUAUAAGUAAACACACACACACACACACACAUAUGUAUACACACACACACACCCCCCCAUAUCACCAAUUUAAAAUAAAACCCACAUGGGCCAUGAAGUAAGGAGAGAAUAGAGAAUGUAAAAAUACCUGACAUAUUUUUAAGUGUCCAAUGAUAAGAUGAAAAUAUUAGUAGGAAAAAGAAAAAAAAGCAUAUCUCAUUCUGUGUUGAACCAUCCUGAUACAUACCAGGCUUUAGAAAAUUUCCACAAAAGUUUUUAGUGAUCUUAAAGAAAAAAGAAAAAAAAAAAAGAUUGAAACACUGAACACUAAGACUGUCACGUAUACUGUAUUUAAGUUUUUAGCCCCAAAGCUACUAGUACAUGUUGUUUAUGAAUAUCCACGUUGAGCUGAUGCUUCAAAAUAUUAUGCAUUUUACUUAUAUUUGAAUAUUUCAAAAAAGAUCACCCUUUCUCUAAGCAAUGUAAAUUGAAAUAAGACGGUUUUUAACUAUGAAAAUGGUUAAGUCGAAGAAUAAUUGUAAAACCUAUCAUUAGUAUGAGCCUGGGAAAAGUCGUGUACUAUUUGGCAGAAAAAUUUGUAUAUGCUCUCUGGAGAUUAUUUUUCAGAUAUAGGGUCAAAAGCCACAAAUGUGCUUAUUCACAGUUCUAGCAAUUCAGCUUCUAGACAAAUUUGACCUAAGACUAUGUUUAAACUUAUAUAAAAAAAUUAAGCUACAGGACUGUUCCUCACAAGUUUAUUUAUUUCCAAUGUAUUUUUUAGGAAUGUCUAAAAAAAUUAGAGUCACCAAGUAAAUUAUAGAAGAAAUAUACAAUAAAAUGCCACCUGAAGUAUUAAGACAAGGGUGUAGAUUUUAAUAUGAUUAAAAAAUACCUGUUACAUGCAUACAUGUUUGAGCAGGCCUUAGAAACAGUUUGGGAGAUUUUGCAUAAAUUAAAGGCUGCUAUCUCUAAGUGACUUGAGGGUAAUCAAAUGUCUUUAUUUUGCCUGUCUUUUCGUAACAAUUUUCAAAUAUUUAUGUGUUAUUGUUAAUUGCUGUUGAAUCUGCUCUGACUCACGGCGACCUUAUGUAUAAUGAAAUGGCAGAUCCUUCGCCAUCUUUGUGAUUGUUGGUAUGUUUGAAUCUGUUGUUGCGGCUAUUAUGUAGUGCCUUCCAACCUAGGGGGCUCAUCUUCCAGCACUAUAUCAGACAAUAUUCUGUUGGAUCCAUAAGGUUUUCACUGGCUAAUUUUCAGAAGUAGAUUUCCAGGCCUUUCUUCCUAGUCUGUCUUAGCCUGGAAGCUCUGCUGAAACCUUUCCACCAUGGGUGACCCUCUUGGUAUUUGAAAUGUGAGUGACAUAGUUCUCCGCAUCAUAGUGACACACAAGCAGCCACAGUACGGCAAACUAACAGACUGGUGGUGGAAUAUUCAUAUGUAUUUUCUGGGUCUUAAGUACGGUAGAAGGUAAACGUGGAAAUAGCAUUUGAAGAGUACACUCAUAAACAUUGUAUGGAAAAUAUUUGUGAGGUCUAGGAAGGGAAAGAACUAUUUUUAAUUUGCAAAAUGACCUCUUAGCAGACUACUGAUUAAUUUACUGAUUCAGCAAAUAUUUGUGUGCCUACUAUGUGCCAGAUGCUGAGCACAUGUUGCUAUGUGCUUUUCACAUGACAAGUGGUUGAGUCAAUUCUGAUACUUCUACAUACACGUGGCUUCACUAACAAAGAGUAAAGAAUAUAAAUAUGAAAGUACUUUAAAAUGGACAUGUAAAAAUUAAGAUUUGCGAGUGAUAUUUUGUUUUAUAAUAUUGUAUGUGUGUUUUAUCUGCUCUAUACUGUCUUGUGGAAACCCUGGUGGUGUAGUGGUUAAAUGCUAUGGCUCUUAACCAAGAGGUCGGUAGUUCGAAUCCACCAGGUGCUCCUUGGAAACUCUACGGGGCAGUUCUACUCUGUCCUAUAGGGUCGCUGUGAGUUGGAAUCUACUUGACGGCAGUGGGUUUGGGUUUUAUACUGUCUUCGGGUGGAAUCAAGGUUUUCCUACCAUGUAGCUACUUCGGACAACUUCAGUCAUCUGGAAAGCCAAAGGCAGCUAGGAACAUUAUUUGAAAGCCUUGACACCGUGUGUGGAAACUGUAAAGGACAUUAAAAAGCCUAUUGACAAGUGCUUUGAAAAAUCUGACCUCUCUUCAUUUUGUGGGUUUUUGGCUUUGAAACCCAAUCUCGCUUUCAUGUUCUGCAGGUGUCCUUCAGGGAAUUAGGACAGGAUUUGAAGGGUGGGAGAUUACUAUGAUGAAUUCAGUGUCCCUCCCAUGUGGAAUGUGGAGCCUGUGGAGGAUAUAAAUACUAGGUUCUGAUUAGGGAUGUUUGAUCAGAAUUCAGGGUGACUUGGAGAUGCUCAUCUAGAGGUUCCAAUGCUUCUCUGAGAACUGAAGAAUCUACCCAAAGGAUAGUCUUCUGACAUCCAGGCUCUGUCACCCCAAUGAAUCUAGAAGUGUAACCUCCCAUGUGACCUUUCAACACUUCGGCCUCUCAUGCUGUUGUUGUUAGGUGCUGUUGAGCCAAGUAGAUUUUGGCUCAUAGUGACCCCAUGUGACAGAGUAGAACUGCCCCAUAGAGUUUCCUAGGCUAUAAUCUUUACAGGAGCAGAUCACCAGGUCUUUUCUCUCAUGGAGCUGCUGGGUGGAUUCUAAUGGACAUCCUUUCAGUUAGCGACUCAGCACUUAACCAUUGAUCCACCAAGGCUUCUUAUAGUGGUAUGCAAUUAGAAAUAAAAUUCUGGAUGAACCACCCAGGGCUCCACAAUGAAAAGACU
Long non-coding RNA from Loxodonta africana (African savanna elephant), 4639 nucleotides. RefSeq lists it as uncharacterized. The record is from RefSeq and is a predicted model, not a curated record. Lineage: Eukaryota; Metazoa; Chordata; Mammalia; Proboscidea; Elephantidae. The transcript is spliced from 3 exons.